Topomyia yanbarensis is the source of this 1130-nucleotide long non-coding RNA. RefSeq lists it as uncharacterized. The transcript has 4 exons. Lineage: Eukaryota; Metazoa; Arthropoda; Insecta; Diptera; Culicidae. The record is from RefSeq and is a predicted model, not a curated record.
ACACCGAUAGUGUACUGAGGGUGCACCAGCCGAGGGAUCGUCAGCGAUGGUGAAGGUGACCUACCUAGCUUAUAUCGAUCGAGUGCAAGUCACAGAGAAGGAAAAGUGAACAGUAUUAUAUCGUGCGAAGUGAUAGAUAGGCGUCCCAUCUUCUUUUCCAUUAGAUAGUUAAAAUUUAGAGUUUCCUGUUGAUUAUCUCAGCUCUUAAAUCUAAUUAAAAUAUAUAGCUAAAUACAUAGUACGGAAGAACAAUAGUACGGACAGGUGGCGGGUUGCUGUAUAUAAUCAGCACAUGCAUAAUUUAGGAAUUGAUAGAGCUUGAAACUCCUCAUUGAGCUUUAUACGAACGUUUGAGAGAGCUACCAUUAGAUUCCAUGAACUAUAACAGCUGCAACGUAUGAACAUAUGUAAAGGCUAUACGGAGCGUUGCACGACAAUAAGAAAUACUAAGAGUACUAUAACUAUAACAGCUGCAACGUAUGAACAUAUGUAAAGGCUAUACGGAGCGUUGCACGACAAUAAGAAAUACUAAGAGUUAGCAUUAUACCUUUAUAAUCUAAAAGCUACAACUUACAUCUACUCUUAUUUCCUAGGAAUUUUAUAAUCUAAAUAAACAUUUAUUGAGGAUUGAUAAAAUUGGAUUAUUUCUUGUCGCUGCUGCGUGCGUAACAUUAUAAAAUUCUCUUAUUGGAACUGAGAAGAUGCCGGGCAAACAGUCCAAUACAAAAUCCAAUAAAAAAGUAAAAACCGCUAAGCUGACGAUUCAGACAAAGGGUACCGCCGCCAUUGCUAAUGCCGUUGCUGUUAACACCGAUGCAACAGCCAUCAACACGCAACCUGAACGAGUACUUGGACUCUCUUUCAACACUGCUAUGAAUGUUCCUGUACUUAACACGGAAUCAGGAAGCCAGCAAGGCGCCGCGGGUGCCAACGUGAUAAACAAAGUUCGCCGGUCCACACGAAAUAAUCACUGCUCCCUGUGCGAUGAACGGGAUAAUAGCAGAAUGGUCCAAUGUGACUCCUGCGACAACUGGUAUCAUUUCACGUGCGCAAAUGUUACUGAAGCAGUCUCAGAGACAGACUGGAGUUGCCCGUCUUGUGGAACUAGUAACAGUACCAAUCCUCUCCAU